GGCGUACGGGUGAGUAACACGUAGGUAAUCUACCUGUNAGAGUCUGGAAUAACCUGCCGAAAGGCGGUGCUAAGUGACUGGACUAGGAGCGAAUACUUCGUCAACAGGAGUGAUCGGGAAAGGGAGCUUGAAAGGGCCCUUGCUUUAAGAUGAGCCUGCGUCCCAUUAGUUAGUUGGCAGGGUAACGGCCUACCAAGACGAUGAUGGGUAGCUGGUCUGAGAGGAUGAUCAGGCGACACUGGAACUGAAACACGGUCCAGACUCCUACGGGAGGCAGCAGUGGGGAAUCUUGCGCAAUGGACGAAAGUCUGACGCAGCCACGCCGCGUGAGUGAAGAAGGCCUUCGGGUUGUAAAGCUCUGUCGGAGGGGACGAAAAUGCAUUAGGUGAAUAGCCUAGUGAACUGACGGUACCCUCAAAGGAAGCACCGGCUAACUUCGUGCCAGCAGCCGCGG
Molecule: ribosomal RNA, 454 nt
Filed under: uncultured bacterium
Lineage: Bacteria
Description: bacterial SSU rRNA
Rfam family: Bacterial small subunit ribosomal RNA
Source: RNAcentral